This 465-nucleotide ribosomal RNA is filed under the name uncultured bacterium. Its description in RNAcentral is "partial 16S ribosomal RNA". It matches the Rfam family "Bacterial small subunit ribosomal RNA", at positions 28 to 507 of the family's 1533-position model. The record is from RNAcentral.
GACGAACGCUGGCGGCGUGCUUAACACAUGCAAGUCGAACGGAAAGGCCCCUUCGGGGGUACUCGAGUGGCGAACGGGUGAGUAACACGUGAGUAACCUGCCCUUGACUUCGGGAUAACUUCAGGAAACUGGGGCUAAUACCGGAUAGGAAUCCUUGCUGCAUGGUGGGGGGUGGAAAGCUUCGGCGGUUUUGGAUGGACUCGCGGCCUAUCAGCUUGUUGGUGGGGUAGUGGCUUACCAAGGCUUUGACGGGUAGCCGGCCUGAGAGGGCGACCGGCCACCUUGGGACUGAGUGACGGCCCAGACUCCUACGGGAGGCAGCAGUGGGGAAUAUUGCACAAUGGGCGGGAGCCUGAUGCAGCAACGCCGCGUGCGGGAUGACGGCCUUCGGGUUGUAAACCGAUUUCAGCAGGGGCGAAGCUUGUGGUGACGGUACCUGCAGAAGAAGCACCGGCUAACUACGUG